Molecule: long non-coding RNA, 985 nt
Filed under: Homo sapiens (human)
Lineage: Eukaryota; Metazoa; Chordata; Mammalia; Primates; Hominidae
Description: non-protein coding lnc-STXBP5-6:1
Source: RNAcentral
GGAUUACAGGCGUGAGCCAUCACACCCGGCCUGGAUGCUGGUAGUUUUAUUUUCUGCUUAGAAAACGCAACCAUGUUGAUGGGACCAAAAACUUAGUUGAAAGAAGCCAUGGCAAAAGAUGUUGACGUACAACUGGCUCCUGAGGCUGUCAAUUGUUUAGAGCUCCCAAGUAGUACUGCAUUACGGAAUCUACUACUUAGAAGAAUGUACAAGAUGUAAGUUCCCAUCGGCACCGUCAUGGUAAGAAGAAUAAGAAACUCUCAAAGGAAAAGAAACUUACAUUCACUUUUUCCUGGUCCAUUUUGGUUCCUAAGAAUAGAUAGGCCAUUAAGAAGGAUAUUAGGUUUCUAAGGACAAUUUUAACACAAUACUGCUUUAAAAAUCUGAAGUUUAAAUAGUUUAGCUAUUUCUGUAGGUUAAUUCAGGCACUGACUAAAAUCAGUCUCAUUAUCAUAUACAAAUGUAAGGAAGUUAAAUUUUAAAAGCAUGUAUAGGUUGUCCUUAAAUUAUACAAAAGCUUUUAGUUUCAUCAGGAUUAUAUUCCAGUUAACCUUUCAUCUUUUUUUUUUUUCCAAAUGAACUAGGGUCUUUAAAAUUCCUAAGUAGAUUCUUUUGAGUGGUAGGGGAGUCUGUAUAGAUUACAGAUAUAAUUUAUUGUGAUAACAAAUGGCUUCCUGUUUGACCUCAUUUCCAGGUGUCGCAUCCGUGGCUGAUUUAUUUCACAGAUGUACAUUUGCAUGUACUUGUUGAACUUUGCUAGGAAGGACUCAAUUUUUGAAAAAUCUGUUAUUUUCACUGUGGGCCUUAUGAGGCAAUCUACUGCAAUGGAAAAAGGGUUCCUUGGUCAUUUCAAGUUUUAUUUUCUAUUAGAGUAAUAUCUAACUUCAAUUAUUUUGCCAGGUUUAAACCUUCUCUCUGUGUCUGUGGUUAGAAUUUGAAAAUAACAAUGCUCUGCUUAAAGUAAGAGUCACAGUCAGCAAAAAAA